AGACCCAUCGUCUAGUGGAAGGAUACGGGACUCUGGAUCCUGUGGCAGGCGUUCAAAUCGCCUUGGGUCUG
RNAcentral lists this transfer RNA (71 nucleotides) under Candidatus Heimdallarchaeota archaeon AB_125. Its description in RNAcentral is "tRNA-Gln". It matches the Rfam family "tRNA". Rfam says of the family: Transfer RNA (tRNA) molecules are approximately 80 nucleotides in length. Their secondary structure includes four short double-helical elements and three loops (D, anti-codon, and T loops). The record is from RNAcentral. Lineage: Archaea; Promethearchaeati; Candidatus Heimdallarchaeota.